AGGGCAGAUUUUUUCCAGUCACUGCUAGAAUACGUAGGAGUCCUUUACUCUGUCAGUGAGAAAUGGAAACAUUUUACGGAAUUGACACUGUCACUACAACAACAUUGGUUAAAUAAUUAGUCUCCCUUAUUUAGAUAAGGGUUCAUUGACUUGGUGGAUAUCAAACUGACAAGUCAUCCUGUUCAAUUUCAGUUUGUUAGUUCAUAUUAGAAAUUACUUUCAUCAUUCUCUCACUGCAUUCCGGUAUAUAUGCCUGGUGUUUCUGACAUCAGUUACACAACUGGAAAUCAUUUUUGAGUUUUUCUUUAUCUCCUCUACUGCAAUUCACAUAUUAAGGUUUACAUCAGUUUUUACUAUGUCUUUAUAAAUAAUAGUAUUGCUAGUUUGUACUUCAUCUGUCAGCAGAUCUCAUUGCAUUGUACAGGCAAUUAAAAAAGAUCUUCUUGCAAAGUUGUUACUUUUUGUUUUCCAGAAGAUGAUGUUGAGUGCAGAUAUUCCAAAACCUGGACAGAAGCUGUGCCCAGUGGGUUUUUGGAGAGUGCCUGGCCUUAUAUGCAUUUGGACCUAAACAAGGCUUCUUAUCAGAGUCUGGUAGCUUAAGCAGACAACAAAGUAACCAAAGAACCCCCAGAGAUGAUCAAGGAGACAUUUUCUAGGUGCUGUACCAACACAGAGGAAUGCUGAGCAACUUCCGUAUUACUUUGGAGCUCCAGAGACACAAGUGAUGAGGAAGAGUGUUACACAGCGAUUUCUCAAGGACAUGGCAGUAGAGAGGAGGUCAGAUGAGUGGAUCAUAGACAGGUGUGGAGAUGGAGUGCAGAAGGAAAAAAUC
Molecule: long non-coding RNA, 832 nt
Filed under: Anser brachyrhynchus (Pink-footed goose)
Lineage: Eukaryota; Metazoa; Chordata; Aves; Anseriformes; Anatidae
Description: lncRNA (ENSABRG00000019702.1)
Source: RNAcentral